AGCGAACGCUGGCGGCGGUACCUAACACAUGCAAGUCGAACGGGAUCACAGGGUUAAGCAAUAACUCCGUGGUUCUAGUGGCGCACGGGUGAGUAACACGUGGGUAACCUGCCCUUGAGACCGGGAUACCCCCUGAAAGGGGGGCUAAUACCGGGAUACGUUCCUCGGAUCGAAAGGUCUGAGGAGGAAAGGUGGCGAAAGCUGCCGCUCUUGGAGGGGCUCGCGGCCUAUCAGCUAGUUGGC
Molecule: ribosomal RNA, 243 nt
Filed under: uncultured bacterium
Lineage: Bacteria
Description: partial 16S ribosomal RNA
Rfam family: Bacterial small subunit ribosomal RNA
Source: RNAcentral